GCCUCGGUUUGGGCGUUUGCUUGGUUGGGGACCCGCUGUCGGGACCCGCCGACGCAAGUCCUUCCAGGCUUCUGCAAUCCCGUCUGGAGUCCGCCAACGGCGGCCGUUCGCGGUCGAGGAGGGUCGUGGGGUAGGUGCCUCUUUGCCGAGCCUUCGCGGGCUUUUGGGGAGGAGAGCUUACAGCCUUCGGCUCGGUAGAUCGGGGAUGGCCGAGGAGCGUUGCGACCAGUCGCACGGCGUAGCGCAGGCUCCGCAGGGGCCGGGUCGCUUCUGGACUUGCGUGCUUCGCGGCGAGCCACUGCCCGCAGUGACAGCCGACGGUAGGUGCGCUUGUGCGGGAGGCGGACCACGAUU
RNAcentral lists this ribosomal RNA (354 nucleotides) under Eurypon clavigerum. Its description in RNAcentral is "partial 28S ribosomal RNA". Lineage: Eukaryota; Metazoa; Porifera; Demospongiae; Axinellida; Raspailiidae. The record is from RNAcentral.